RNAcentral lists this ribosomal RNA (477 nucleotides) under uncultured bacterium. Its description in RNAcentral is "partial 16S ribosomal RNA". It matches the Rfam family "Bacterial small subunit ribosomal RNA", at positions 30 to 507 of the family's 1533-position model. The record is from RNAcentral.
AUUGAACGCUGGCGGCAUGCCUUACACAUGCAAGUCGAACGGUAACAGGUUAAGCUGCCGCGUGGCGAACGGGUGAGUAAUGUAUCGGAACGUGCCCAGUCGUGGGGGAUAACUGCUCGAAAGAGCAGCUAAUACCGCAUACGACCUGAGGGUGAAAGCGGGGGCUCGCAAGACCUCGCGCGAUUGGAGCGGCCGAUAUCAGAUUAGGUAGUUGGUGAGGUAAAGGCUCACCAAGCCGACGAUCUGUAGCUGGUCUGAGAGGACGACCAGCCACACUGGGACUGAGACACGGCCCAGACUCCUACGGGAGGCAGCAGUGGGGAAUUUUGGACAAUGGGCGCAAGCCUGAUCCAGCCAUGCCGCGUGCGGGAAGAAGGCCUUCGGGUUGUAAACCGCUUUUGUCAGGGAAGAAAAGGUUCUGGCUAAUACCUGGGACUCAUGACGGUACCUGAAGAAUAAGCACCGGCUAACUACGUG